ACGGCUCAGUAACACGUGGAUAACCUGCCCUUGGGUCCGGCAUAACCCCGGGAAACUGGGGAUAAUUCCGGAUAACGCAUAUGUGCUGGAAUGCUUUAUGCGUCAAAUGGAUUCGUCCGCCCAAGGAUGGGUCUGCGGCCUAUCAGGUAGUAGUGGGUGUAAUGUACCUACUAGCCAGCGACGGGUACGGGUUGUGAGAGCAAGAGCCCGGAGAUGGAUUCUGAGACAUGAAUCCAGGCCCUACGGGGCGCAGCAGGCGCGAAAACUUUACAAUGCGGGAAACCGCGAUAAGGGGACACCGAGUGUCAGCAUCAUAUGCUGGCUGUCCAGGUGUGUAAAAUACACCUGUUAGCAAGGGCCGGGCAAGACCGGUGCCAGCCGCCGCGGUAACACCGGCGGCCCGAGUGGUGAUCGUGAUUAUUGGGUCUAAAGGGUCCGUAGCCGGUUUGGUCAGUCCUCCGGGAAAUCUGAUAGCUCAACUAUUAGGCUAUCGGGGGAUACUACCAGGCUUGGAACCGGGAGAGGUAAGAGGUACUACAGGGGUAGGAGUGAAAUCUUGUAAUCCCUGUGGGACCACCUGUGGCGAAGGCGUCUUACCAGAACGGGUUCGACGGUGAGGGACGAAAGCUGGGGGCACGAACCGGAUUAGAUACCCGGGUAGUCCCAGCCGUAAACGAUGCUCGCUAGGUGUCAGGCAUGGCGCGACCGUGUCUGGUGCCGCAGGGAAGCCGUGAAGCGAGCCACCUGGGAAGUACGGCCGCAAGGCUGAAACUUAAAGGAAUUGGCGGGGGAGA
Molecule: ribosomal RNA, 794 nt
Filed under: uncultured archaeon
Lineage: Archaea
Description: bacterial SSU rRNA
Rfam family: Archaeal small subunit ribosomal RNA
Source: RNAcentral